Long non-coding RNA from Megalobrama amblycephala (Wuchang bream), 331 nucleotides. RefSeq lists it as uncharacterized. The record is from RefSeq and is a predicted model, not a curated record. The transcript is spliced from 3 exons. NCBI's taxonomy places the organism in Eukaryota, Metazoa, Chordata, Actinopteri, Cypriniformes, Xenocyprididae.
GGGGCCAUAAGAUCAGGGUAACAAGAACAGAGUAACCUUUGCUCAAAAACAAAGACAUCUGUGAUCAGUGCCAAAUGAGGAAAAAUUGCAUAACUGUCACAGCCAAUUAUUAACUUCAGCACUCCUGUAUCUGUUUGCUGGUGUUUGACCUCUGCCUUUGGAUCUCCAAUUCCAUCGACCAGUUCCCUUCAUUACAGUAAAAGGAGUUCAGGAGCAACAACGAGAGAAGAUAAGAAAAGUCUGUUGCCCACAGCCAGACGACAACGACUCUUCAAACUAAGAAGAGAACGGUGCCUUUUGUAUAUUGCAAACCAUCUGUGUCCAUGUGUUC